GAUGAAGAACGUAGCGAAAUGCGAUAAGUAAUGUGAAUUGCAGAAUUCCGUGAAUCAUCGAAUCUUUGAACGCACAUUGCGCCCCCUGGUAUUCCGGGGGGCAUGCCUGUCCGAGCGUCAUUGCAACCUUCAAGCGCGGCUUGUGUGUUGGGUCUCGUCCCCCGUGGACGGGCCCGAAAGGCAGUGGCGGCGUCCCGACAUGGUGCCCGAGCGUAUGGGAAUCCUCUUCCGCUCGAAUCGGCCCAUGCGGCGCUAGUCGUAACCAAAUUUUUUACCGGUUGACCUCGGAUCAGGUAGGGAUACCCGCUGAACUUAAGCAUAUCAAUAAGCGGAGGA
RNAcentral lists this unclassified non-coding RNA (336 nucleotides) under soil metagenome. RNAcentral's name for it is "partial contains 5.8S ribosomal RNA, internal transcribed spacer 2, and large subunit ribosomal RNA". The stretch from base 1 to 120 matches the Rfam family "5.8S ribosomal RNA", at positions 35 to 154 of the family's 154-position model. The record is from RNAcentral.